UGAAUACAUAGGGUUUUAAGAGCAAACCCGGAGAACUGAAACAUCUAAGUACCCGGAGGAGAAGAAAACAAAAGUGAUUCCGAUAGUAGCGGCGAGCGAACUUGGAUUAGCCCAAACCAAUAUUGUUACGGCAAUAUUGGGGUUGUAGGACUACGAUAUUCUGUGCUUUAUGAAUUAGAACGCUUUGGAAAGAGCGGCCAUAGACGGUGAUAGCCCGGUAUAGGUAAAGACAGUUACAGAUAGUAGUAUCCUGAGUAGUGCGGGGCACGUGAAACCCUGUAUGAAUUUGGCGGGACCAUCCGUUAAGGCUAAAUACUCCUGAGAGACCGAUAGUGAACCAGUACCGUGAGGGAAAGGUG
Molecule: ribosomal RNA, 359 nt
Filed under: Thalassiosira minuscula
Lineage: Eukaryota; Bacillariophyta; Thalassiosirophyceae; Thalassiosirales; Thalassiosiraceae
Description: partial Bacterial large subunit ribosomal RNA
Rfam family: Bacterial large subunit ribosomal RNA
Source: RNAcentral